UUUAAUCCAGAUUGCUGAGGUUGGGUCAGACCAGGGGAUGCUUCAUUUUGAAGGGAUUUAUGGCUAACAGGGACGAAUGAAGGCUUUGGCUUCACCUUGGCUCCUCUGAGAGACCUUUGCUGCCCACAGAGCCCAGCCCAGGAUCCAACUCGGGGCAGGGACUGGAAAAUGUCCCCAUCUGUCCCCCGGCUGCAGUUCUGAGCCCGCAUUUCAGUGCUUUUCACUCCCAUUUUCCUCAUGAUGGAGUUUGUGGUCUCCUCCUCCCCACUACAGCUGGAGGUGCAGCAGUGGCCAAGGCAAAACUGGUGAAGACAAACCUCCUUGGGUCACUGGUUCCACCUGGAAACUCCCUGGUGACGCUGAGUCUCAGCAUUUUUUGGGCUGGUUUUUUCUGUUUUGCUUUGCAGGUAUUGAAGAGCCAAGGGAGGGGCCAUUGUAGAGCGAAACUCUGCGUUCUCACCAGGGCUCCUUUGCGAAACACAUGAGGGUUUUCUGUUCCAAGAGAUAAGAAAACAAGCUUGGUUUUAUAUCCUUUUCCUGUGAGGGUGAUAACAGCUUUCAGAAUUCCUGUGGACUCUGAUCUCCAAAUGGGGGGCUCCCGGAGCCCUCAGAGGAGCCGCCGUUGGACUUUGUUUGGAAGGUGAUUAAGAACAAACAGAUCCUGGAAAGCCGAGGCAAAACCUUGAGCAAGAGGAAACUUGGCAGAGGGAAGAGCCGCGAUGCCGCCGGUGCUGGAGUCCCCACACGGCAGCGAGGGAACCUCCAUUGCCAUGGAGUGCUGAGGCUGAGCUUUGGGAGGGGUGGAUAGAAACAAGAUGGGGGGUUCCCCUCAGGUGGAGCUGUUUUGGGGAGGGUUUUCCUGGUCACCCCUCCUUUCCCCAUGGACAAUCCCAGCAGAGGGCAGCAGGAGAUGCCCUGGGCACCCUUUGCUUUCCCAGGGGUGCUGCUCCAGACUACCCACCUACGCCUGUCCCCUCCUGGUCCUCACCUUGGGACAUCUGCUAAAAACUCCCAAUUGUUCUGGCUUGAAAGACAUGUUUUUGCGGCUGAAGGAGUUGGAACUUAUUAGAGUUGAGUUAGAACUUAUUACAAGCUAAGCUGGGAUUCAUUAAAGUUGUUGGAAUUUAUUAAAGAGGCAUUUUUUGGCCUGUAGGAAUUGGGACUUUUUAAAGUUGGGAAUUAAAGAGGCAUUUUGGGGACUGUAAGAGGUGGAACAAAAACACCUUUGAAUCUCAUCUUGCCCUCCCUGCUCUCUAGACAUCUCUGGCCCUUCACCUCCUCAAUGUCCUGGGUGAUUUUUUGGGUGACUCUCUCCUUUCCAUGAAUUAUGGUGCCGCCCCUCCCAUGAACAUUCUGGGGUCUUGGUGGAGACUGUGCGACCCCACAGGGCUCUGGAGGCAGCACUGGGGGGUGCCCAACCUGACCCAGCAUUGACCCCAAGUCCUUGUGAGAUGAGCCAGGGAGCCAAACACGAAUUCCAAGAGCUGCUCAGGUGGAGGCCGUGUUCCUGGCCAGGGUGACAACAGGAAGGGUGGCUGUUGGCCCUUGCUGGCCUGGGAGCUGUUUCCUGGCUCCUGACGAGGGAUCUCAUGGCACAACAGGCUGGGCAGAAGCUGAGUAGGAGGAGGAAGGCUCUGGAGGAGGAGGGUGCUGGCACAGCCUGUGCCAUGACUAAUGCCAACACCCAGGCCAGGCUCUCCUCCUGGGGCACAGCUCACUCCUCUCCAGCAGCAUUUCAAUCCUGGAAAUGCUCUGGAAAUGUCAGUAUUUGCAGAAAUAAAGUUUCCUGGUGUGGAGCCUC
Non-coding RNA from Cyanistes caeruleus (blue tit), 1801 nucleotides. The record is from RefSeq and is a predicted model, not a curated record. NCBI's taxonomy places the organism in Eukaryota, Metazoa, Chordata, Aves, Passeriformes, Paridae.